RNAcentral lists this ribosomal RNA (253 nucleotides) under uncultured bacterium. RNAcentral describes it as "partial 16S ribosomal RNA". It matches the Rfam family "Bacterial small subunit ribosomal RNA", at positions 524 to 776 of the family's 1533-position model. The record is from RNAcentral.
UACGGAGGGUGCGAGCGUUAUUCGGAAUUAUUGGGCGUAAAGGGCGCGUAGGCGGCUGUACAAGUCAAAGGUGAAAUCCCUCGGCUCAACUGAGGAACUGCCUUUGGAACUGUACGGCUUGAGGCCGGGAGGGGGUAGCGGAAUUCCCAGUGUAGCGGUGAAAUGCGUAGAUAUUGGGAGGAACACCAGUGGCGAAGGCGGCUACCUGGACCGGUUCUGACGCUGAUGCGCGAAAGCGUGGGUAGCAAACAGG